UGGGGAAUUCUGGACAAUGGGCGAAAGCCUGAUCCAGCAAUGCCGCGUGUGUGAAGAAGGCCUUCGGGUUGUAAAGCACUUUUGUCCGGAAAGAAAUCCUUGGCUCUAAUACAGUCGGGGGAUGACGGUACCGGAAGAAUAAGCACCGGCUAACUACGUGCCAGCAGCCGCGGUAAUACGUAGGGUGCAAGCGUUAAUCGGAAUUACUGGGCGUAGAGCGUGCGCAGGCGGUUUGCUAAGACCGAUGUGAAAUCCCCGGGCUCAACCUGGGAACUGCAUUGGUGACUGGCGGGCUAGAGUAUGGCAGAGGGGGUAGAAUUCCACGUGUAGCAGUGAAAUGCGUAGAGAUGUGGAGGAAUACCGAUGGCGAAGGCAGCCCCCUGGGCCAAUACUGACGCUCAUGCACG
RNAcentral lists this ribosomal RNA (407 nucleotides) under uncultured bacterium. Its description in RNAcentral is "partial 16S ribosomal RNA". It matches the Rfam family "Bacterial small subunit ribosomal RNA", at positions 355 to 755 of the family's 1533-position model. The record is from RNAcentral.